GAGAUUUCUUAAACUGGACCUGGCAACCCUACCACUGAGGUCCCUCCCCAACCCCAAACGUCCAGAAAUUUUCCAACCCUGAGUUGCCAACCCUGCCUCAGACUGCAGCGCAGAGAUCGAUUCUCCUGGAGCAAACGGCUGCUUUGGAGGGUAAGGUUUCCAGGAGAGAGAGAGAGAGAGAGAAUGUCCCCAAAUCAGAAUUCCAUCCAAUGCAGAGAAGUUCUCCUAGAGAGAAAACCUAUUGCUUGCUUUGACCACAAGCACAUUUUUCACAGGUGAAGACAUUGCACCGACAGCAGCAGGAAAUACAGUUUUAAAAGGAAAACAGCUUUAAAAAGAAAA
Long non-coding RNA from Heteronotia binoei (common prickly gecko), 342 nucleotides. RefSeq lists it as uncharacterized. NCBI's taxonomy places the organism in Eukaryota, Metazoa, Chordata, Lepidosauria, Squamata, Gekkonidae. The record is from RefSeq and is a predicted model, not a curated record. The transcript is spliced from 3 exons.